Long non-coding RNA from Leopardus geoffroyi (Geoffroy's cat), 527 nucleotides. RefSeq lists it as uncharacterized. The transcript has 2 exons. NCBI's taxonomy places the organism in Eukaryota, Metazoa, Chordata, Mammalia, Carnivora, Felidae. The record is from RefSeq and is a predicted model, not a curated record.
AACUUCUCUCAGGAGCCCCCGGGCCAGACCCAUUUCCAAGGGGGAAUCCCCGGGACGUCGGAGGCGGCGGCGGGGCGCGCGCCCCAGACACACUCACACACGCGCACACUCACACGUGCAACGUGCACACACCUGGCCGCCGGCUGCACGGCAUCGAGGGGGCUGUCUGUCACCCCCAUGCCGCCGUCCGCCCCCACGCACGCUCCCUCGGCUGCACCCGGGGCGCCCCGCCUGCCCCCCAGGCCUGCCUCUCACAGCCGGCGCUCGCUAACAGGGCGAACUACGCCGAGUAGGGAUGAACACAGCGCAGCUUCUGAACGCGGACUGCCAGCCAGGACAGACCCGGAAAUUUAAACUCGGCAUCCAGAUUUGACCAACCAAAGAGAUGCAGAGAAAACAGACUUCAUGUAUUUAUUCAUUCAUUUAUUAUUUAUUUAUUUAUUCUUUAUGGAGCCGGGCUCCGUCUUUGUUGUCAGUAUGGUCAUUUUUUACUUUCUUAAAAAAAAAAAUAAAUAAAAGCAACCAUA